GUUCCAAAUUUACACUCUCGGGGCAUAAUAGAACAAUAUAAUUAGGUUUUGCUCUUUAUUCGAUUGAAUGAGAAAAAGUUCUAGUUGCAAAGUUAUACUGUUAGGGCUCAACUGAGUAGUCUAACGUUGUUCCGGUUUUGGUUCUUGUGAACGUUGACAUCGAUUCGUUCCAAAUUUACACUCUUGGGGCAUAACAGAAAGCUUUUACUCCUUGUUCAAUAGAAUGAGAAAAAGUACUCGUUGCAAAGUUAUACUAUUAUGGCGCAACUGAGUAGUCUAAUGUUGUUCCGGUUUUGGUUUUUGUGAACGUUGACAUCGAUUCGUUCCAAAUUUCACUCUCGGGGCUUAAUAUAACAAUUUAAUUAGGUUUUACUCUUUGUUCGAUUAAAUGAGAAAAAGUACUUGUUGCAAUGUUAUACUGUUAGGGCGCAACUGAGUAGUCUGAUGUUGUUCCGGUUUUGGUUCUUGUGGAAGUUGACAUCGAUUCAUUUCAAAUUUACACUAUCGGAGCAUGACAGAACAAUAUAAUAAGGUUUUACUCUUUGUUCGAUUGAAUGAGAAAAAGUACUAGUUGCAAUGUUAUACUGUUAGGGCUCAACUGGGUAGUCUAACGUUUUUUCGGUUUAGGUUCUUGUGAACGUUGUCAUCGAUUCGUUCCAAAUUUACACACUCGGGACAUAAAAGAAAGCUUUUACUCCUUGUUCGAUACAUUGAGAAAAAGUACUCGUUGCAAAGUUAUACUGUUAUGGCGCAACAGAGUAGUCUAAUGUUGUUCCGGUUUUGGUUCAUGUGAACGUUGACAUCGAUUCGUUCCAAAUUAACACUCUCGGGGCAUAAUAGAACAAUAUAAUUAGGUUUUACGCUUUAUUCGAUUGAAUCAGAAAAAGUACUCGUUGCAAUGUUAUACUGUUAGGGCUCAACUGAGUAGUCUAACGUUGUUCCGGUUUUGGUUCUUGUGAACGUUGACAUCGAUUCGUUCCAAAUUUAUACUCUCGGGGUAUAAUAGAAUAAUAUUAUUAGGUUUUACUGUGACACCCGAAUAGUCCCACAUCGGAUGGGAAUGGGGUUGUCAUUAGGUUUAUAAGAGACUUAGACACUAGUAAUAAUAACUGGGCUUAAGCAUUUUGGGCUGUUGGUUGGGCCCCGACGAGUUAUUAUUGCUAGUGGGCUGGGUUGUUACAUUUGGUAUCAGAGCCGGUUCACCAGCUGGACAUGUGUGGCGAGUCUCGGCUGUGCCAGGGUCUGGAUGACGGGCUAGCGAGACGAGUCUCACAUCGCCUGGUGAUCUUGGGUUGUGUGUGUUUGGACUGACGAGGACGUCAGGGCCUUAACAGGGGGAGUCUGUGACACCCGAAUAGUCCCACAUCGGAUGGGAAUGGGGUUGUCAUUAGGUUUAUAAGAGACUUAGACACUAGUAAUAAUAACUGGGCUUAAGCAUUUUGGGCUGUUGGUUGGGCCCCGACGAGUUAUUAUUGCUAGUGGGCUGGGUUGUUACAUUUGGUAUCAGAGCCGGUUCACCAGCUGGACAUGUGUGGCGAGUCUCGGCUGUGCCAGGGUCUGGAUGACGGGCUAGCGAGACGAGUCUCACAUCGCCUGGUGAUCUUGGGUUGUGUGUGUUUGGACUGACGAGGACGUCAGGGCCUUAACAGGGGGAGUCUGUGACACCCGAAUAGUCCCACAUCGGAUGGGAAUGGGGUUGUCAUUAGGUUUAUAAGAGACUUAGACACUAGUAAUAAUAACUGGGCUUAAGCAUUUUGGGCUGUUGGUUGGGCCCAACGAGUUAUUAUUGCUAGUGGGCUAGGUCGUUACAUUUGUGCUUUAUUCGAUUGAACGAGAAAAAGUACUCGUCGGAAAGUUAUAUUGUUAUGGCGCAACUGAGUAGUUUAAUGUAGUUCAAGUUUUGGUUCUUGUGAACGUUGACAUCGAUUCGUUCCAAAUUUACACUCUCGGGGCAUAAUAGAAAUCUUUUACUCUUUGUUCGAAAGAAUGAGAAAAGUACUCGUUGCAAAGUUAUAUUGUUAUGGCGCAACAGAGUGUCUAAUUUUGCUCCGAUUUUGGUUCUUGUCAACGUUGACAUCGAUUCGUUCCAAAUUUACACUCUCGGGGCAUAAUAGAACAAUAUAAUUAGGUUUUACGCUUUAUUCUACUGAAUAAGAAAAAGUACUCGUUGCAAAGUUAUACUGUUAUGGCGCAACAGAGCAGUUUAAUGUUGUUCCGGUUUUGGUUGUUGAAAACGUUGACAUCGAUUCGUUCCAAAUUUAUACACUUGGGGCAUAAUAGAACAAUAUAAUUAGGUUUUACACUUUAUUCGAUUGAAUGACAAAAAGCACUUGUUGCAAAGUUAUACUGUUAUGGCGCAACUGAGUAGUCUAAUUUAGUUCCGGUUUUGGUUUUUGUGAUCUUUGACAUCGAUUCGUUCCAAAUUUACACUAUCGGGGCAUAACAGAACAAUAUAAUCGGUUUUACUCUUUGUUGGAUUGAAUGAGAAAAAGUACUAGUUGCAAUGUUAUACUGUUAGGGCUCAACUGAGUAGUCUAACAUUUUUCCGGUUUAGGUUCUUGUGAACGUUGUCAACGAUUCGUUCCAAAUUUACACUCCCGGGGCAUAAAAGAACGCUUUUACUCCUUGUCCAAUAGAUUGAGAAAAAUUACUCGUUGCAAAGUUAUACGGUUAUGGCACAACAGAGUAGUCUAAUGUUGUUCCGAUUUUGGUUCAUGUGAACAUUGACAUCGAUUCGUUCCAAAUUUACACUCCCGGGGUAUAAUAGAACAUUAUAAUUAGGUUUUAUGCUUUGUUCGAUUGAAUGAGAAAAAGUACUAGUUGCAAUGUUAUACUGUUAGGGCUCAACUGAGUUGUCUAACGUUGUUCCGGUUUUGGUUCUUGUGAACGUUGACAUCGAUUCGUUCCAAAUUUGCACUCUCGGGGCAUAAUAGAACAAUAUAUUUAGGUUUUACGCUUUAUUCUAUUGAACGAGAAAAAGUACUCGUCACAAAGUUAUACUGUUAUGGCGCAACUGAGUAGUCUAAUGUAGUUCCGGUUAUGGUUCUUGUGAACGUUGACAUCGAUUCGUUCCAAAUUUACACUCUCGGAGCAUAAUAGAAAGUUUUUACUCCCUGUUCGAUAGAAUGAUAAAAAGUACUCGUUGUAAAAUUAUACUGUUAUGGCGCAACUGAGUAGUCUAAUAUUGUUCCGGUUUCGGUUCUUGUGAACGUUGACUCGAUUCGUUCCAAAUUUAAACUCUCGGGGCGUAAUAGAACAAUAUAAUUAGGUUUUGCUCUUUGUUAGAAUGAAUGAGAAAAAAUACUAGUUGCAAAGUUAUACUGUUAGGGCUCGACUGAGUAGUCUAACGUUGUUCCGGAUUUUUUUCUUGUGAACAUUGACAUCAAUUCGUUCCAAAUUUAAACUCUCGGGGUGUAAUAGAAUAAUAUAAUUAGGUUUUGCACUUUGUUCGAUUGAAUGAGAAAAAAUACUAGUUGCAAUGUUAUACUGUUAGGGCUCAACUGAGUAGUCUAACGUUGUUCCGGUUUUGGUUUUUCUGAACGUUGACAUCGAUUCGUUCCAAAUUUACACUCUCGGGGUAUAAUAGAACCAUAUAAUUAUUUUUUACGUUUUAUUCUAUUGAAUGAGAAAAAGUACUCGUUGCAAAGUUAUACUAUUAUGGCGCAACUGAGUAGUCUAAUGUAGUUCCGGUUUUGGUUUUUGUGAACGUUGACAUCGAUUCGUUCCAAAUUUACACUCUCGGGGUAUAAUAGAAAGUUUUUACUUCUUAUUCGAUAGAAUGAUAAAAAGUACUCGUUGUAAAGUUAUACUAUUAUGGCGCAACUGAGUAGUCUAAUGUUGUUCCGGUUUUGGUUCUUGUGAACGUUGACAUCGAUUCGUUUCAAAUUUAAACUCUCGGGGCGUAAUAGAACAAAAUAAUUAGGUUUUGCUCUUUUUUCGAAUGAAUGAGAAAAAAUGACAGUUGCAAAGUCAUACUGUUAGGGCUCAACAUAGUAGUCUAACGUUGUUCCGCUAUUGGUUCUUGUGAACGUUGACAUCGAUUCGAUCCAAAUUUACACUCUCGGGGUAUAAUAGAAAGCUUUUACUCCCUGUUCGAUAGAAUGAGAAAAUGUAUUCGUUGCAAAGUUAUACUGUUAUGGCGCAACGAGUAGUCUAAUGUUGUUCCGGUUUUGGUUCUUGUGAACGUUGACAUAGAUUUAUUCCAAAUUUAAACUCUCGGAGCGUAAUAGAACAAUAUAAUUAGGUUUUGCUCUUUGAUCGAUUGAAUAGGAAAAAAUAUUUGUUGCAAAGUUAUACUGUUAUGGCGCAACUGAGUAGUCUAAUUUAGUUCCGGUUUUGGUUCUUGUGAACUUUGACAUCGAUUCGUUCCAAAUUUACACUAUCGGGGCAUAGCAGAACAAUAUAAUAAGGUAUUACUCUUUGUUCGAUUAAAUGAGAAAAAGUACUAGUUGCGAUGUUAUACUGUUAGGGCUCUACUGAGUAGUCUAACGUUUUUCCGGUUUAGGUUCUUGUGAACGUUGUCAUCGAUUCGUUCCAAAUUUACACUCUCGGGGCAUAAAAGAACACUUUUACUCCUUAUUCGAUAGAAUAAGAAAAAGUACUCGUUGCAAAGUUAUACUGUUAUAGCGCAACAGGGUAGUCUAAUGUUGUUCCGGUUUUGGUUCAUGCGAACGUUGACAUCGAUUAGCAAAUUUACACUCCCAGCGUAUAAUAGAACAAUAUAAUUAGGUUUUACUCUUUGUUCGAUUAAAUGAGAAAAAGUACUAGUUGCAAUGUUAUACUGUUAGGGCUCUACUGAGUUGUCUAACGUUGUUCCGGUUUUGGUUCUUGUGAACGUUGACAUCAUUUCGUUCCAAAUUUACACUCUCGGGGCAUAAUAGAACAAUAUUAUUAGGUUUUACGCUUUAUUCGAUUGAACGAGAAAAAGUUCUCGUCGCAAAGUUAUAUUGUUAUGGCGCAACUGAAUAGUCUAAUGUAGUUCCGGUUAUGGUUCUUGUGAACGUUGACAUCGAUUCAUUCCAAAUUUACACUCUCGGGGUAUAAUAGAAAGCUUUUACUCCCUGUUCGAUAGAAUGAUAAAAAGUACUCGUUGUAAAAUUAUACUGUUAUGUCGCAACUGAGUAGUCUAAUAUUGUUCUGGUUUUGGUUCUUGUGAACGUUGACAUCGAUUCGUUCCAAAUUUAAACUCCCGGGGCGUAAUAGAACAAUAUAAUUAGGUUUUGCUCUUUGUUCGAAUGAAUGAGAAAAAAUAUUAGUUCCAAAGUUAUACUGUUAGGGCUCAACUGAGUAGUCCAACGUUGUUCCGGUUUUUUUUCUUGUGAAUGUUGACAUCGAUUCGUUCCAAAUUUAAACUCUCGGGGCGUAAUAGAAUAAUAUAAUUAGGUUUUGCGCUUUGUUCGAUUGACUCAGAAAAAAUACUAGUUGCAAUGUUAUACUGUUAGGGCUCAACUGAGAAGUCUAACGUUGUUCCGGUUUUGGUUCUUGUGAACGUUGACAUCGUUUUGUUGCAAAUUUACACUCUCGGGGCAUAAUAGAAAUCUUUUACUCUUUGUUCGAUUGAAUGAGAAAAAGUACUCGUUGCAAAGUUAUACUGUUAUGGCGCAACUGAGUAGUGUUUUGGUUUUUGUGAACUUUGACAAUAAUUCGUUCCAAAUUUACACUCUCGGGACAUAAUAGAACAAUAUAAUUAGGUUUUGCACUUUGUUCGAUUGAAUGAGAAAAAGCUCUAGUUGCAAAGUUAUACUGUUAAGGCUCAACUGAGUAGUCUAACGUUGCUCUAAUUUUUGUUCUUGUGAACGUUGACAUCGUUUCGUUCCAAAUUUACACUUUCGGGGCAUAAUAGAAAGCUUUUACUCCCAGUUCGAUAGAAUGAGAAAAAGUACUCGUUGCAAAGUUAUUCUGUUAUGGCGCAACAGAGUAGUCUAAUGUUGUUCCGGUUUUUGUUCUUGUUAACGUUGACAUCGAUUCGUUCCAAAUUUACACUCUCGGGGCAAAAUAGAACAAUAUAAUUAGAUUUUACUCUUUGUUCGAUUGAAUGAGAAAAAGUGCUAGCUUCAAUGUUAUACUGUUAGGGCUCAACUGAGUAGUCUCACGUUUUUCCGAUUUUGGUUCUUGUGAACGUUGACAUCGAUUCGUUCCAAAUUUACACUCUCGGGGCAUAAUAGAAAGCUUUUACUCCUUGUUCGAUAGAUUGAGAAAAAGUACUUAUUGCAAAGUUAUACUGUUAUGGCGCAACAGAAUAGUCUAAUGUUGUUCCGGUUUUGGUUCUUGUGAACGUUGACAUCG
Molecule: long non-coding RNA, 6285 nt
Filed under: Ananas comosus (pineapple)
Lineage: Eukaryota; Viridiplantae; Streptophyta; Magnoliopsida; Poales; Bromeliaceae
Description: long non-coding RNA (ACOM_LNC042375)
Source: RNAcentral